AUUAAGGUUAUUUUUCAGUUUUUAGAUACAAUGUUUCAACUCUCGUCUUAUUUGAAAUAUUUUUAUGAUUAAUAAUUUUAUUGUUAUUAGAUGUUAAAAUAUGAAUAGUACUUUAUGUGUAACUAAUUUUUAAGUUUUUAUACAAAUUUUUUAAAUAAGACGAAUGAUCAAAACAUUACACUCAAGAAUCGAAAAAUAAAAUUAUU
This 206-nucleotide microRNA precursor is filed under the name Oryza brachyantha (malo sina). Its description in RNAcentral is "MIR812 microRNA precursor family". It matches the Rfam family "MIR812 microRNA precursor family". The record is from Rfam by way of RNAcentral. Lineage: Eukaryota; Viridiplantae; Streptophyta; Magnoliopsida; Poales; Poaceae.